Long non-coding RNA from Sinocyclocheilus rhinocerous, 212 nucleotides. RefSeq lists it as uncharacterized. The transcript has 3 exons. The record is from RefSeq and is a predicted model, not a curated record. NCBI's taxonomy places the organism in Eukaryota, Metazoa, Chordata, Actinopteri, Cypriniformes, Cyprinidae.
UCUCUCUUUUGCUUGUUUCAACAGGAGCUAACUACACCCCAAAGGCUAUUUUAGGAGCCACAGCACUGAGCAUCUUUGGCUUUGAGCCAACUACACCCCAGAGACUCUUUUAAGGGCCACCUAGAAUCACGGCACCUUUGGCUUUAUCAGCUGUCAGUGGUUAUGGAGGCCAUGCAGCCAAGACCAACUAGGAUGCUUGUUGCCAUAUUUCU